CCCCUCUACUGACCCUGUCCCUGCCCCACUUCAGACCCAGCCUCCCCUCUGGGAGAAUUGGGGUGCCUCUGCCCCCCCACCACAUUACUUCAGGCUGUGGGGCUCCCACUUACCUGACGCUUGCCUGCUUCCACUAAACUGCUCUCUCUGGGGGGCAACCCCCCGGCCCCACAGCAAGGGGAGGAUCCCCAGCAGUCAGGGGGAGAAAAAGGGGGUGCAGGAAACGAGGGGCCCCUUUCGCUCCUUUCCGCGCCCGGCUGUGGUUCACCCCGUCGGGCCACUCGCCCAGCACUGGUGCCUUCCCUCCGGCCCAGGGCCCUAUAUACACUGGGGCCCCCCCCCCGGCCCCAGCUGCGUUGGAGGUAACAAUGGGUUGCCAUGGUAAUGGGAUGCGGGGGCGCGGGGGGGGACCGUGCGUCAGCUGCUGACACAGAAAGGAGACGGUGGUGGGGGCAGCUUCCGGGUUCCCCGAUGCCUCCAGCCAGCCCUGGCCCCUCCAGGGGGCGCCAGCCCCACCUGGCCACAGGGUGGCGCUGGCUGGCUCGGGGGCAGGGGGCCUGUCCUGGCGGGGGGGCCACGGGCCCAGGUGGCAGCAGGUUGAAGUCUCUCUCCACCCCCCGAUCUCGCCCCCCACGAAGCUGCCGGUCCCCCCACACCCGCACGGCCGCAGGAGGACACGUACAGAAAAGAAGGCAAAACUGCUAAAGCCUUUGAGGUGAAGUAUUACAGCAGCUUUAGUUUUAACAACAUCCCGGGUUCCCUUUGACUUUGGCUGUGAGGAGUCUUUAGAAAAUAAAAUCCCACCUUGACAUGACCACCUUCACCAGAUGAGGACAUUCCUGCAGAGAUGUACAUCGCGUCAUGGAACAGGCCACCCAGCUGCAAUUCGGAAAUAAAAGCCCUGGAACCGCACACCCCCAAUUGUCACCUAGCACCUUACAUUGGAACCCACACAGGAUAUCAUCAAAUACUCGAUGCGGAUUCCAUCCUGAAAAAUCUUUCCUGAGUUCCCUUUUUGGCCUUCAAACAACCCCCCGACCCCUCUCCAAGCUCAUCGGAAGCAAGCUCCUCAGAGGUGAAACCAGAAAUCAGUGGUCUCUCGAGUGAACUUGCACAGGAAAAUGAUAAAACACAAAAAUACCACAUCACGGUGAACAAUUGUCACAGAAUGAUCGCUCCAUAUCUGACUUCUCCAUCCUUGUCCUGAAAGGAAACCUGCACAAAACCUUCAAAAUAUGAGCCUGGGAGCUUAAAUUCAUAACUCUACCAGACACCAAAAAUCAUGGACUCAGUAGAGACACUGGAUUUAUGGCUCAUUACAACAAUCUGUAACCCACUAACCCUCCUUUGUCCUUGGACUGCAGAAGCAUUAGCUGCCCACCUCACUUUGGGUGGUCUCUUGCAACAUGUGCUCCUUGUGCUAAACGAUCCACUCUGCCUUCUGUUUAGCUGUGACCCUCAGAGGACCUUUCUCAGCCCUGAAGAAGAGCUCUGUGGAGCUUGAAAGCUAGUGACUCUCACCAACAGAAGUUGAUCCAAUAAUGGAUAUUACUUCACCCACCUUGUGGGCUGGUCUACACUGGAAAUAUACAUCAGUAUAGUUACAUCUCUCAGAGUUGUGAAAAAUCCACACCCUGGAGCAAUGCAGUUAUCCCAACCUAACUCCCAGUGCAAGCAGUACUAGGUCAAUGGAAGAAUUCCAUCUCGGAGAGGUGAAUUAUGCGCCGAUGCAGCAUUUUAGGUGUACACUUACCCUCAGUCUUUACAUGGCAACAACUGUUCUUUUUGGGGCAAAGGGAAACAGUCAAAAUGAGUUGGAGCUGCGGUUGCUGUUGCUGUUAAAGUCCAAUCCUGUUUCCUCCAAAACAAGACAAUCCUGUUUCCUCCAAGAGAAGACAAACAAAAGGAGAGACAGGAACAGCAAAGACAAACGACACAGCUUCUGGUUAUUCGUUCUCACUUGCAACCUCCCUGCUGGAGAAACAUGGGUCCAGCCCCCGGUGUGACCAGCCAUGCUGAGACCUGGAAAACUUGUGCCAGUAUCGAGCUUUGCAGGACAAUGCUUUUAGCUGCCUCUCUGGUCACAGGCUCAGAGCUGGGUUGCAAGAUAUAGUCUUGGCCAACUAAGCCAAAAGGGAGAGAGACAGGAUGGUGAAGAAAUAAGGUGGGGAAGGAAAAGGACAUGUGGUGUGGGGGAAGGUGAAAAGGAUGAGUGAUACAGAGGGGUGACAAAGUCUCCCAUCCCAGGUGGUGGUUAGGAUUUACCCAAAGCAGGUGGAGGUGGCUACAUCAUCUGGGUCCCUGUCUGGGCUAGUCCGGUCAUGACAUCCCUCAGGAUCAAGACAGUGAAGGCUUAGCAGAGUGAUGGUGGAUGCUGGGGUCCCAGGGGACAGUGAGGGUGGCAGUCAUGAUGGUGACACUUGUUCCUUUCUGUUCUGAUUUUCAGUCGGCCAACAUUGCUGCCGUUCUCCCCACAAAGUCUCUUUGAGGCCCUAAAAGGGAGUGGUGGCUGGAAUGGCCCAUCCCCUCAUUAUUUUGUUCACCCAUUUGGCCAAGUUUCAAUCAUUGAUUUCCAGUCCCCCACUUCUUUUGUUCACGGGCAUGAUCUGAAUACAAUUCUGGAGUUAGAUUGGGAGGGACAAGAAAAGCAAAAACAGAUUUUAUUUGGACUAAUACAGUCUGUCACCCUUUGGCACCUUUGCCCAUCAUCAUUUGCUGUCAGGUUACUGUGACAUCUCAUGAGCGUUCAGUCCCUUCUCAGCUGUGGUCUCUAUUAGAUAAAAACAAACCUUUGUUAAUCAGUUUGAUUAAUGGAUUUCCCCAUACCACCAUCCUUGGGGCUCUUUGAAUUCUGAUGGCUUAACUACACAAAAGGACUCGAGCUACAUUUGAUUGUAGAGAAUUGUAUUAAAUAUCCUUAAGAGCAACAUAUAGGGAUAAGAAGGCAAAAAUACUAGCAGUAUAGUUUUGCUAAACUAGAAAAUUGGCCUAUAUGGUAAUGGGCCUAUCCAAGUUUCAAGAAUCACGUAACAACUACAAUAGAAAACACUCAACAUCUAUUCUGGGAAGGUGACUUUGUCCAGGUGAUCAACCCUGGUGUUGCUAACACAGAGGAAAAAGUAAUUCAAAGGUAAAACGUAAGACAGUCUGGGCAGUUAUUUACAUCACAAUUCAUCAAAGUCUCCUUUGCAAUGGAUCUAUACCAGUCAACCCUUUUAACCUAGUUCUCCAUGAGUUAUAUGAGCCCCCGAAUCUGCAUAAUACUAUCUAACUUGAACUCCUACGUUUAGGCUUGGAAGGAUUUGAUUUUUAUCGGUAAAUGAAUUUUCCUGUCUCUAUAAGUGCAAAAUGCCAUAUCACACCAGCUUGUGGAAGACAAGAUAGGCCAGAUUUGUUGUACAGCUAUCUUGGGACAGAUGUUGAACUCUGGCUGGCUUGCUUCAGGCAGCACCGUAUCGCUCCAAGUCACUUUCCUUGGGUCCCUCUGCAGUGUGUUCCUUGGCCAGCUUUGCACACAAUGCUUGCUCAAGUUGCAGUUUCUUCAUCGAUGCUCUGUGUGCUACUGAAAUGUCCAAUUUACUGUUCGCGCCAUUGAGCCAACAUCCUGCCACAGCCUUUUCAACUUGUUUUAAAGUCCAUCCUACAAUGCAAAGUCACUCCAACAACUGCUGUUCUCCAGUGGGCCAGGUGAGCAGUUCCAGGGGUGGAGGAGUCCGCAAGAUCCCUAUUCCUUCCCCAGCCGCUGAGUUCCAGGCCGAGUUGCAGAAAGAUCCCUC
This is a long non-coding RNA of Dermochelys coriacea (leatherback sea turtle), 3776 nucleotides long. RefSeq lists it as uncharacterized. Lineage: Eukaryota; Metazoa; Chordata; Testudines; Dermochelyidae. The record is from RefSeq and is a predicted model, not a curated record. The transcript is spliced from 3 exons.